CAGAGGAGUAUCGCCAUGGAAAGUUAUGGUCAUUUUCAAGAGGGAGUGCUUGGGCAUCCUUUGAGUCCUGACCAAGAGAUGGCAGAGAGACAAUUCAGGAGUGUGUGGGAACUGGCAUAGAGAAGAAUAGGAGUCUACAAGACAGCCUAAGACCACUGGCCGUACCCUGAAGAAAUAGCAUUGGAGAUCACAGUACUCAAACGUCUAUAGAUGCUGCAUAUUUAGUUUGGUGAAAAAAAAUUUCAUCUUUCCCAAUAGAAGGAAGAAAAACUCUUCGACUUUGUGUUCAGAUUAUGUAACCUUUGGCUUCUCCAGGAUACACUCCUAACUCUCCCAGACUUUCUCUACGAUGUCCUAAAACAUCUGCACCCUGGACAUUUACUCCACCCCUAGACUUCACGUUGGAAGUAUCCUCUGGCCCUGGAGCCUCUCCCUGGCUGGUUCUUCCCAGAACCUCCAUUUCAAGGAGCCAAUCCAAACCAUCCAUGUCUUCAUUUCUCUCCAGGCUGUGCUGACUUUCCUGGAUUUUCUCUACAAUGGCCCUAGAACGCUUUGAAACCCAGGAACUUAAACUCCCCCAUUGCUCCAGGGAAGAUCUCACUUUGACCAUAGAGAGAAGGGAAGGGAUGACCUGUUCCUGAGUUUCCCACUCCCCAAACCCAAAUAUAUCCUGGCAGACUGAAACUGAGAUGGCUGAGCUAGCCCUGCUGAUCAAGAUGAGCCUGCCAGCAGAGACUACAAGAGACUGCUCUGAAUCAUCCAGACCCCGAUGCAGAAAACAGGCAGGACUUCUGGGAGAUGACAUCAUGGCCAGAGCCUUCUUGGAGGGGGAAAAUCUCUUGGGAGCAAGAACAGUGAAGGCAGAGUAAAGAUGGUGUGGUCAAGCUAUCUUUGGAUUGGAUGACUAUAUACACAUGAUUAGCAUACAUGCCAGAUGUUUAUCUUAUGAGUAUAUGUUCAAUCCUCUCACAAGUUUGCGUCUGACUUUCCUGACUUCUACAACAUGCCUCAGCUGCAGUCUCAUCCUGAAACUUCCCUCAGCAACCGGGCCUUCUUACCAUGGAACAUCCCUGUCUCAUGCCAGCCCCUUUCUCCCAUCGGUGAGUUCCUCCCAGCUCCAUGUUGGGGAGGAGCCCAGGACAACCAACUUUCAUCCACCUCCCAGCUCUGCUUCUGGUUUUCUGAACCUCAGCACUGUGUUCCCCCCAAAGUUAUCUCCCUUAGCUCCCCCCAUCACCAAGUUCCAGCUUUCUUUUGUGUUGUCUUGAUCCAUUAGACUAUAAGCUCCUUGAGGAAAGGGAUUACCUUUAUUUUGGCUUGUAUUUACAUAGAGAGCACUUAAUAAAUGUUGCUUGUCUUGCUGCCUUUAUACUCAAAAGGGGAGUUUAUGGGAAGCUGAAUGCCACUGAAACAGCAUCAGGAAAUGCCAAUGGGGUCAGGGAAAGGGAAGGCAACAAUGAAAUUAUUUAAAAAAGAAAGAAAAGAAAAAAAACUCUAGCCCCCACCUAUUUAGUAAUGUCUUAGCCACCAUCUUUGUACCACACUCCCCAAGAUGUGGAGAACUCAGGCAUCACCAUGUCAUUCAUUGUGGAUUCCACUCAGUCUCUAACCUUGAUGGCCCCGACCGUAGAAACACCAAGGAGAGU
This is a long non-coding RNA of Phascolarctos cinereus (koala), 1646 nucleotides long. RefSeq lists it as uncharacterized. Lineage: Eukaryota; Metazoa; Chordata; Mammalia; Diprotodontia; Phascolarctidae. The record is from RefSeq and is a predicted model, not a curated record.